This 995-nucleotide ribosomal RNA is filed under the name uncultured bacterium. RNAcentral's name for it is "bacterial SSU rRNA". It matches the Rfam family "Bacterial small subunit ribosomal RNA", at positions 356 to 1376 of the family's 1533-position model. The record is from RNAcentral.
GGGGAAUAUUGCACAAUGGGGGAAACCCUGAUGCAGCGACGCCGCGUGGAGGAAGAAGGUCUUCGGAUUGUAAACUCCUGUUGUUGAGGAAGAUAAUGACGGUACUCAACAAGGAAGUGACGGCUAACUACGUGCCAGCAGCCGCGGUAAAACGUAGGUCACAAGCGUUGUCCGGAAUUACUGGGUGUAAAGGGAGCGCAGGCGGGAAGACAAGUUGGAAGUGAAAUCUAUGGGCUCAACCCAUAAACUGCUUUCAAAACUGUUUUUCUUGAGUAGUGCAGAGGUAGGCGGAAUUCCCGGUGUAGCGGUGGAAUGCGUAGAUAUCGGGAGGAACACCAGUGGCGAAGGCGGCCUACUGGGCACCAACUGACGCUGAGGCUCGAAAGUGUGGGUAGCAAACAGGAUUAGAUACCCUGGUAGUCCACACCGUAAACGAUGAUUACUAGGUGUUGGAGGAUUGACCCCUUCAGUGCCGCAGUUAACACAAUAAGUAAUCCACCUGGGGAGUACGACCGCAAGGUUGAAACUCAAAGGAAUUGACGGGGGCCCGCACAAGCAGUGGAGUAUGUGGUUUAAUUCGACGCAACGCGAAGAACCUUACCAAGUCUUGACAUCCCUUGACGAACAUAGAAAUAUGUUUUCUCUUCGGAGCAAGGAGACAGGUGGUGCAUGGUUGUCGUCAGCUCGUGUCGUGAGAUGUUGGGUUAAGUCCCGCAACGAGCGCAACCCUUAUGGUCAGUUACUACGCAAGAGGACUCUGGCCAGACUGCCGUUGACAAAACGGAGGAAGGUGGGGAUGACGUCAAAUCAUCAUGCCCUUUAUGACUUGGGCUACACACGUACUACAAUGGCGUUAAACAAAGAGAAGCAAGACCGCGAGGUGGAGCAAAACUCAGAAACAACGUCCCAGUUCGGACUGCAGGCUGCAACUCGCCUGCAGGAAGUCGGAAUUGCUAGUAAUCGUGGAUCAGCAUGCCACGGUGAAUACGUUCCCG